AAGAAGAAGGAAAAAAACUAAUCGUCAUGAGAAGACGAUAA
This 41-nucleotide small RNA is filed under the name Arabidopsis thaliana (thale cress). RNAcentral describes it as "ATSL236340". Lineage: Eukaryota; Viridiplantae; Streptophyta; Magnoliopsida; Brassicales; Brassicaceae. The record is from RNAcentral.